AGCAGUAUUGAACUGAAGAGUUUGAUCAUGGCUCAGAUUGAACGCUGGCGGCAGGCCUAACACAUGCAAGUCGAGCGGAUGAAGGGAGCUUGCUCCUGGAUUCAGCGGCGGACGGGUGAGUAAUGCCUAGGAAUCUGCCUGGUAGUGGGGGAUAACGUCCGGAAACGGGCGCUAAUACCGCAUACGUCCUGAGG
Molecule: ribosomal RNA, 194 nt
Filed under: Pseudomonas aeruginosa
Lineage: Bacteria; Pseudomonadati; Pseudomonadota; Gammaproteobacteria; Pseudomonadales; Pseudomonadaceae
Description: partial 16S ribosomal RNA
Rfam family: Bacterial small subunit ribosomal RNA
Source: RNAcentral